AUUGAUUUUAUGCUUGCAUAAAUGAUUUUUGGAUUCGGAGCGAGUGGCGAACUGGUGAGUAACACGUGGGUAACCUGCCCCGAAGCGGGGGAUAACAUUUGGAAACAAGUGCUAAUACCGCAUAAUUAGUUGGAACCGCAUGGUUCCAACUUGAAAGAUGGCUCUGCUAUCACUUUGGGAUGGACCCGCGCCGUAUUAGUUAGUUGGUGAGAUAAAAGCCCACCAAGACGAUGAUACGUAGCCGACCUGAGAGGGUAAUCGGCCACAUUGGGACUGAGACACGGCCCAGACUCCUACGGGAGGCAGCAGUAGGGAAUCUUCCACAAUGGACGAAAGUCUGAUGGAGCAACGCCGCGUGAGUGAUGAAGGUUUUCGGAUCGUAAAACUCUGUUGUUAAAGAAGAACAAGUGUUAGAGUAACUGUUAACACUUUGACGGUAUUUAACCAGAAAGCCACGGCUAACUACGUGCCAGCAGCCGCGGUAAUACGUAGGUGGCAAGCGUUGUCCGGAUUUAUUGGGCGUAAAGCGAGCGCGGGCGGUUUUGUAAGUCUGCUGCGAAAGCCCUCAGCUCAACUGAGGAAGUGCAGUGGAAACUACAAAACUUGAGUACAGAAGAGGAAAGUGGAACUCCAUGUGUAGCGGUGAAAUGCGUAGAUAUAUGGAAGAACACCAGUGGCGAAGGCGGCUUUCUGGUCUGUUACUGACGCUGAGGCUCGAAAGCAUGGGUAGCGAACAGGAUUAGAUACCCUGGUAGUCCAUGCCGUAAACGAUGAAUACUAGGUGUUGGAGGGUUUCCGCCCUUCAGUGCCGCAGCUAACGCAUUAAGUAUUCCGCCUGGGGAGUACGACCGCAAGGUUGAAACUCAAAGGAAUUGACGGGGGCCCGCACAAGUGGUGGAGCAUGUGGUUUAAUUCGAUGCUACGCGAAGAACCUUACCAGCUCUUGACAUCUUCUGCCAACCCAAGAGAUUGGGCGUUCCCUUCGGGGACAGAAUGACAGGUGGUGCAUGGUUGUCGUCAGCUCGUGUCGUGAGAUGUUGGGUUAAGUCCCGCAACGAGCGCAACCCUUAUUAUUAGUUGCCAGCAUUUAGUUGGGCACUCUAGUGAGACUGCCGGUGAUAAA
This 1123-nucleotide ribosomal RNA is filed under the name uncultured bacterium. RNAcentral's name for it is "bacterial SSU rRNA". It matches the Rfam family "Bacterial small subunit ribosomal RNA", at positions 47 to 1162 of the family's 1533-position model. The record is from RNAcentral.